Monomorium pharaonis (pharaoh ant) is the source of this 3955-nucleotide long non-coding RNA. RefSeq lists it as uncharacterized. The record is from RefSeq and is a predicted model, not a curated record. NCBI's taxonomy places the organism in Eukaryota, Metazoa, Arthropoda, Insecta, Hymenoptera, Formicidae. The transcript has 2 exons.
CAAAAUUUUAUUCUGAUUAUAUUAAAAUAUGAAAUAUUAUAAUUUAAAAUUAUACAUUUUUAAUUAUCUUGCUUUAAUGUUUUCAUGCAUAGAAUAUUAGCAUUAAUCGAUAUAAAGAAAACAUAAUUGCAUUAAAAAAAGAUAUGUCAUACAUACAUUAAAAGCAUUAUAUCAUUUUAAACAAAUUUAUUGAUUGUUUAAUCACAUUAUACGCAAAUGCAACUUUAAAGAUCAAAGUUCCAUUUAUGCAUGCGAUUGUUUAAUCGAUAAACUAAAAAAUUUACCUUUUUCGUAUUAAGCAGUUUCAUGUCGAUAAAAUUAUCUGUCAAAAAUUUGUUAUGCAAUGUACUUAAAAGUAAAAUAUUAUUAAAUUUAAAUAAAAUAAAAAUAAAACAAAAACAAAUUAAAAUGUCGAUAAUAAUAAAGGAUAUGUCUUCCAAAAAGAAAUCGAAAUUAUGCUGGAACGACAUGGAAGAGCUAAAGUAUUUGAUAUGUACUAUUGACGAUAGCAAAUCCUCAAGCGUUUCACCACCAGCGUCGUGUAGUAUAAUUCUACCCCCGAGAAUCGAAGAAAUUCCUUGCAAGAGUUCAUCCCGAAGACCGCCUUGUGUUCCACCACCUCGAUGUUGUCCGGUAACACCUGGACCUUGUUGCUCUUGGCUCUUAACACCCCCGAUAUUUCCAGUUAGUUUACUUCAACCACCUUCACUAUCGAAUCCGUAUUGCAGUCCUUGUGGUCCACUACCAUGUUAUUUCAACGAGUAGAAGAAUCAAGAAACUCGUGAAAGAAGGAAAAAAGCAUACAAAAUUAACACAUUAAUUACCACAUCUUUUACAUAGAGACAUCAAUUUCAUAAAAAAUUUUCAGAAAGCCAAACAUGGUUUUUUUAAUAAUUUAUUUUCUUUUUGCUUCCUAAAUAUUUAAUUUCUUGAAAAAUUUUUAUGAAAUUGUAUGCCAUUCAUAAAUGACGUGACAAAUGUGUUAAUACAUUGUACAUUUAUUUUAACUUAUGUCAGCUUGUAAUAGGCAACGAUAAGUAAGAUCAGAAAAAACCUUUCUUAGCAGAGAAAUAAAAGAAAGAAAUUUAUUACAAAUCUAUAUAAAACAUUCACAUUUUACUCGAUUUUAACGGAAGGUCCAUACGUACGGCCGACAGGUUUCUAAUCAAAAUAUCGGACAUCUUUUCUUCUUUUUUUUUUUUCGAGAAACCGAACUUGAUACAACCACGGCGGUAGUCCACUUCGACAUCAUAGAAUACAUAAUACCGAUGGUUGCUUCUCUCGCAGGAUUGUAUGAUAUGUUCCAAAUAAAAGCGUCACUACUAUUUUUAUGCAAUACAAACAAGACCACAUUCGUACUUCACACGCAUGAGUUCUAUCACGGUCUAAAUCAGAUAUCGAUGCCUGAAGCUAUUUUGCCUACGAAAUGAUUUGCUUGGUCGAUUGUAUUUGUUGAUCCCACCCCCGCAAUAGAGAUGCCAUAUUCGUGCACUGCUUCCGAUAUAAGCGAACGUAUUCUUUUAACAGAUACGCUCUCUUUUCAGUCAUUCAAAUUAUUCAAUCGAAGGAUUUAUGCAUCGCAGAUUUCGGCGAAGCAGUUUCUUUCCGUUCAAAAGAUUGCUGUUACGAAUCUCCGUGUCUUUCGUUUCUCUUGAUCAAAUAAAUUUUAUCCGGUGCGAAUCCAUAUCAUUGAUCUAUUACCACAAUUGUUCGUCCUACGAGAGAUAGUUAAAAUGUCUGUACAAAUUAGUAUUUUUUACAAUUAAUUUUCCAGCAAACAUGAUGAUAUAUUAAAGGUGUCAAAAAUAUGUAUUUAUUAUGAUCACUGACGUCAAGUUAUCCACAAUGUACGUCUUUAUUAAUAUAUCUUUUUAAUUACGCUCCACUAUCACGUCCAUAUAUCGUUUCAAAUAUGUCGUGAUGUAAUUUGCAUAAUGUAAAAAUUAUGUCACUACAUAACUUGUUUUAUAUAAAAGGUAGAAGACUUUAGAGGUAGAAGAAUAUUUUAUUAAUAUAUAUAUUCAAUAUUAUGUUUAAACAAUAACAAAAAAGUUAUCCUAAAUGUUACUCCGCUCAUUUACUACAUUUAUGAUUCUUGAAUUGUCUACAAAAAAAGAAAAUUUUUAUGAAAAUUUAAUUCACAUAUCGAGAGAGUGAAGAAUUAAUAGUACUUUACAUUUCUUUAUAAUCGGUAGACCACAUCGUUACAUAAUUGCAUUAAAAAAAUAUUACAAAAUUUUAAUAAUUUAAGAUAUUUAAAUUCUGGUGAACAGUUUUUUUUAGUUAUGUUGUUGUUGUAACAAAUGAGCGAUAUGCAAAAAUUGUUAAAAAUUUAUGUUCACUUUGUUUCUAACUUUAUGUUCACAUUUAUUUAGAAAAAGAAUUAUUUUUUGACAACUUUAUUGAACUAAUCUAUCCCGGAUAUGUAUCCAUUAACAUCAAAUGUUUAUGGAUUAUAGAUCAUGAAAUGUCGGUUGCCAUAUGAUCACAGAGAUCAAGUAACGUUGAUAGUGUUAUCCUAGACAGGUGAUUGCUAGAUAUGAGUUUGACUUGGGAAGGAUGACCACUUGGGAAUCAUGAAUUCUUUUUCCCGAAUCUUUUUUUGUUCAUAAUUUUGUCGUGUGUAUUUCUGAAAUGUGAUACUAAUCAAUAAAAUUUAUUUUACUUUAACGUAUAUAUCUAUUGUCGAAAAUAUCGUCUUUCAGACGAACUUAAAUAAUAUUAGUACAUAGCAUUUUGAUGUCAUUUAUAAGUUUUUACGGUUCCACAUUAAUUCACGUUAGUUUUUGGUCAUUAUUGACGAAAAAGUCACGAUAAAUUGACAUCAUCAUGUUUGUUGGGUUCUGGCUCUCGAGGUAGCAAAGCGAUUGAUUUUCCUUAUUAGCUGAUAUCAUUAUGCCAUUGUUAUUAUUAUCAUUACUACUAACAUGCUGAUUUAUAAACAUUAAUAAUCUACAUUAUUGGCCACAUUGUUGGCUUAUUUAUAAUUCGGAGAAGUAACGAACUUACAGUAAUUUUUCAAGUAGACCGUUAGCGUACAUACAUAGCACAAAUACGAUGUGCAACAUUGAAAUCUUUGCAGAAUUUUCUUUCUGAAACGUCAGAAUUAAUUUUCAAUCUCAAAACCGCAUUAUCGCAAAUUACAUUCGUCUGUUCGCGUGAGCUUAUAACAGCUCGGCCCAUAUCAGAGUAAAGUAUUUGCAUCUCGUAAAUAUAAUUCUUAUCACACGCCCCGUUUUAUUAUCGGUAACUUUAUUUCCGAUAUUAUAUCGCGUUGCACCGUUAUCCUAUUUUAGCGUCACAUUGUCCUCGUGAUAAGUCACAAUUUCACGCGAUGGCGUAUUAUUAUUAGGGAAAAAAACUUGUUCGAAACGAAAUGUAUCUCUGCGCGCAGGUAGGAGAGUAACGUCGAAGCUUUCAUAAAAUUAUUACUUCAAAGUUUAUAUACUACACAUAUACAUGUAUGUAUGUUUCAUUUUAAGAGGAUUACCAAACUGCUCAGUGAGAAAAUUUUGAGGAUGGAAUGGAAAAAAAACAUUUUAACGUAUUUAUUAUAUUUAUUUAUACUAUUUUACACCUCUAUAAAAGACUGAAUUAAGAACGAAAUUUUCUCAAUUUCUAUCUUCCAUAUAAAAUAUUUACCAUUGCGAAACUCUUCAUCUUGGAUUAUGCUUGCAUAACUUCUACAGACUUGAUCUAAACCUAAUUAUAAAAUUAUACAAAACCUAAAUAUUUUGUACACGUAUUAUUUAUAGAAACUUGGUAAAAGCAAAUCUUAACAUUUUUGGUUUUUAAAUAAAAUUAUGACCUUUCUCCAAUUCUUUGAAAUUAGAUAUAUUUUUUAAAAGGUUACAGUAUUUGUAGAAAGUUAAAAUGUUAAGUUCUUUCUUCAUUAUGUUUAAAAAAUAUUACGUAUCUAAAAAAAUUUGGAUUUUACUUCAGAUUAAUCUUUUUG